This 73-nucleotide transfer RNA is filed under the name archaeon. Its description in RNAcentral is "tRNA-Gln". It matches the Rfam family "tRNA". From Rfam's summary of the family: Transfer RNA (tRNA) molecules are approximately 80 nucleotides in length. Their secondary structure includes four short double-helical elements and three loops (D, anti-codon, and T loops). The record is from RNAcentral.
AGCCCCGUGGUGUAGCGGCCAAGCAUGCUGGCCUUUGGAGCCAGCGACGGGAGUUCAAAUCUCCUCGGGGCUA